AGCGAGAAAGCGUUGCCGCAGGCAACGACCCGAAGGGCGAAGCGCGCAGCGCUGAGUCAUCCUUCCCCCUCAUCCU
Molecule: small RNA, 76 nt
Filed under: Salmonella enterica
Lineage: Bacteria; Pseudomonadati; Pseudomonadota; Gammaproteobacteria; Enterobacterales; Enterobacteriaceae
Also listed under: 2 other names
Description: partial RtT sRNA
Rfam family: RtT RNA
About the family: This family represents a bacterial cis-regulatory element known as RtT RNA. The exact function of RtT is unknown although it is thought that it may be involved in changing the cellular response in relation to amino acid starvation.
Source: RNAcentral